RNAcentral lists this ribosomal RNA (497 nucleotides) under uncultured bacterium. RNAcentral describes it as "partial 16S ribosomal RNA". It matches the Rfam family "Bacterial small subunit ribosomal RNA", at positions 28 to 507 of the family's 1533-position model. The record is from RNAcentral.
GAUGAACGCUGGCGGCGUGCCUAAUACAUGCAAGUCGAGCGAACAGACGAGGAGCUUGCUCCUCUGACGUUAGCGGCGGACGGGUGAGUAACACGUGGAUAACCUACCUAUAAGACUGGGAUAACUUCGGGAAACCGGAGCUAAUACCGGAUAAUAUAUUGAACCGCAUGGUUCAAUAGUCAAAGACGGUUUUGCUGUCACUUAUAGAUGGAUCCGCGCCGCAUUAGCUAGUUGGUAAGGUAACGGCUUACCAAGGCGACGAUGCGUAGCCGACCUGAGAGGGUGAUCGGCCACACUGGAACUGAGACACGGUCCAGACUCCUACGGGAGGCAGCAGUAGGGAAUCUUCCGCAAUGGGCGAAAGCUUGACGGAGCAACGCCGCGUGAGUGAUGAAGGUCUUCGGAUCGUAAAACUCUGUUAUUAGGGAAGAACAAAUGUGUAAGUAACUAUGCACGUCUUGACGGUACCUAAUCAGAAAGCCACGGCUAACUACGUG